Long non-coding RNA from Chinchilla lanigera (long-tailed chinchilla), 1794 nucleotides. RefSeq lists it as uncharacterized. The transcript is spliced from 4 exons. The record is from RefSeq and is a predicted model, not a curated record. NCBI's taxonomy places the organism in Eukaryota, Metazoa, Chordata, Mammalia, Rodentia, Chinchillidae.
AAGAAACGAAUGAUAGAAGAGGUGGCAGGUCCCUUGUGCCUUGAAGAGCUAGGACAUGACUGCAAAGGCCAUAGAGUGGAAGGGCCCAUGGGCCUGGGCAAAAGACUGAAAGAGAUGGCUGGGGAAGCAGAGGGUGAUCAGCUGAGAUGGGACUGAAACAUACAUCAGCUCUGAGGACUUGGACUUGUGUCACUGGUGACACACCAAACAGUUUGAGUGGAGUGAUUUGGCUAAUUCCAGGCAAUGAAAGAGCCAUGGAUGACAUUUAUUGAGCGCUCAUUGUAUGGCAGGCACUGUUGUGACCGUCCUAACAACUUGCAAGGCAGAGAUUACCUCAUGUGAAUCACACCAGACAAUGUGAUGUUGACUAGCAGUUGGAACAGGCAAGGUGUUAACUGGCUCUUGAGUGUCUGAGGAAGCCCACAUCCCUUUGAAUCUGGAAGGUUUGGGAAAGCAGCAGCUCCAGGAGAGUGGGGACAUCUGCUGUCCUGCCAGGCAGGAGCUGCUUUAGAGGCUAAGAAGCUCAAGAUUAAGGUGCUAGCAGAGCUGGUGUCUUUCUGGGAAACAGAUGGCUGCUUUUUUCUGUGUCCUCUCGUGGAGGAGCUCAGGAAAAGAGAGGAGAAGCAAGGACACUCAUCCCAUUUACGAGAGCUCCACCUUCAGGACCCGUCACCCACAGAUCCUACCUCCUAACACCGUAACCUUGGGAGUUAGGAUUUUGGAGGUACACAAAUAUUUCAGUCCAUAGCAAACGCCAAAGCCCAACCUCAGACCCAUGUUGCUCCCGUCCUGACUUCCCAUUAACUCCUACACCUUCAACUUGUGUGCUACCCCUAAACCCUCCCACCCAAGUCUCUGCCAGUUGCCAUCAGACCUGCCACUCUCCCUUCAUCCGCAGCACAGGACAGUUAUGAGCCCCAGCUCGAGACUUUCUUGCUGUGCCUGUUUCCUGUCUGCACAGUGGGGCUAAUGAUGCCCCUUCCGCCCACUGCUGUUACAUUAGAUGAGGUAAUGCAUGGGAAACAGGGCACUGCCUGGCACACCAUAAAUCUAAAUGCAUUUUCUCAUCAGCUCACAGAUCUGGAGAACCUGGCAGGUGCUGGGCACACUGUGGCUCCCAAAGGAUGCUUCAGGAAACAGUCAGGCAUGUGGAAGCCAGGUUCUCUCUCUGGCACUGUCUAUAUUGCUGAGAAAUGCCCAGUGCAGCCAGGUCGGAAGCUGACAGGAGCACGGGGCUCUGUUCCCUCCCUGGGGUGCUCACAGGAGGUCAUGGAGUUGGGAGCAGGGGCUAGGCUCUGACAGGCCUGUGCCAGGGUCCCUGCUCAGGCAGUAUGGCUGUUUGGCCAGGGACUGUGUGCCCCUCCACGCCCCAGUGUCUUCCCUUGGAGCAUGCUGUCUGUCGCUGCUGUGAGGACCAUGUGUUCAGGCAUUUCUCUAAAGCAGGCAUGGAGCGGUUCAGGGAGCACAGCAAAGGCCCUGCUGCUGUGGAGCUGGCAUUCUGGGAUGAUGGGCAGUGGACAGAUAAAGGGGUGAUGAAUGUAGUGGAAUGAAAAGAAAAAAAAAAGAAUGUAGCAGAAUGCAUGUCUUGAGGAUGGAUAACACAGGGGCAGGGAGAUGAAGAGGGUGGGGAUUUUUUGGGCACAGGGUGGUCAGGAAGGCCAUGCUGAUAAGGUAACACUUGGGAGGAGACCUAAACAAUGAAACCAGGUACAGUACUAGGGACUGAACUCAGGGCUUCACACCUGGUUGGCAAGCACUUUACCACUUUACCUGAACUUUACUGUCCCUUCUUUU